This is a long non-coding RNA of Catharus ustulatus (Swainson's thrush), 1621 nucleotides long. The record is from Ensembl. Lineage: Eukaryota; Metazoa; Chordata; Aves; Passeriformes; Turdidae.
CAUCAGAGAAGCAAAAACAAAAUGAGUGCUCUGUAUGGAAAAAUUGCAUGCCCUGAUGCUUUACAGGGCAUGAGCAGUUCAGAAAGGCACAGAUAUCUGCCUCCAGCUCAGACCCAAUGACAACAGUAAUGGGGAUCAGUCUCCCUUUGCCCAGUACCUGCUACCCAUUUCCCUAGUGGGAAAUGACUUUCUGGAAGAAUCACCAAGGGAGACAGUAUGAAAUACAGGUCUGCUCCUUUUCAUGAGCAAUAUGAUUUCAUUAUUAAAACCUGUGUCUAAGGAAGUUUGAUGACAAAAAUGCUAAAAGACAAAUACAGUCUGGCUGGCACAUUGACUCAGCAUUAUUAAAUUAACAAUUCUUCUAAUUGAAUCAUUUUGUGAACUUCUGACUGCCUGCAGAAACAUCACGAGCAUCACAAAUACAUGGAUCCGUGAUAGGCUGAGGCCAGUCCAGAUGCUGUUUCUCUCCUGGAAGGGCUCUUCAUCCAUUGACUGCUUUGCUCUUCUUCCCUGCCAGCUUUCAGCCAGAGCAGUCAGCAGAGGUGGCUCAGCUGGGCCAUGCAGCAGCUGGGUGCCGGGAACCUAAGAGAGAACACAUAACCUGGACAAAAGAGGGGGAAAGCUGGACUCCUUCUUCAUCAGUGGCUCACAGUGUUAAUUGGUAGUGAAACUGCACCCCAGAAAUACCUGUUAUAAAGUGAUCUGGGGAGCUGAUAAGUCUGUACAUGGAAAUAGAAGACACUUCAUGCAUCUGUGCUGCUGUUCGUUUGUGCCAAGGAAUAUUCAUCUUGGGCCAGAGAAACUUGGAAGCCAAUCCUGGGUCCCACUCCAACCUUUGCCUCAAGUUUCCUGUGAGGUCUGAAUGCUGGACUUUCAGAAGUGCUGUGAGCCUGGGUACAAUUUGUUUGGCACAUUUGGCCUAGGAUUCCAAAGGUAUGUUCAGUCCUUCUUACACACAAUCUAGCCUUAUAAACCCUCUUUGUGAAUAGACUUAUCUUGAAAUACUGUCUUUAUGCUCUCAUAACUUCUACUUUCAGGAAAGCUGGAAUCGUAACAGAAUCAGAACAUAUAGGCUCUAGAUUGCCUACAAUGCUGAUAUCUUCUAUAAGGCAAAGGUAUAUAAAAGACCAAUGUAAUGAAAACAAGCAAACUGUUCCUCCUUAUUUAUGCAGGAAGAGUUGUUGUAGUGUUCCUGUGCUGCUGGCUGUGGAGGUGCAGCCGUAGGGCCGGAGGCUGAAUGCCUUUCACAGUCCAUGCCAUGAUCUGCAUUUCACUGCAUGGCUUUCCUCAAAGGUCAUGAGCCUUCAGCUGAAACCACCCUACAUCACUGUAAUGAGGAUGAGCAUAUAGGUUUCCCUCAGUCACUGUAUGUUGACAGUCUCUGGCAGCUGCAGCAGAUUUGUGUUCUCAUCCUGGAGUUGGUAAAAGGGAGUCAUGAACCAGGCAAUGAGAAACUCAGGGAAACUCCUUAGUUUUCCUGAAUUCUUGCACAAAUUCUCCUUAAGGGAACAAGGCUGUGACAAUAGGGAUCUCUAAGCACACGUUAAGUGAUUGUUCACCUGUGUUAAUGGCACCUCUGUGAUGUAAAUGAGAGAUACAAACAAAAAAACUUAGAGUUAAG